RNAcentral lists this ribosomal RNA (433 nucleotides) under uncultured bacterium. RNAcentral's name for it is "partial 16S ribosomal RNA". It matches the Rfam family "Bacterial small subunit ribosomal RNA", at positions 29 to 507 of the family's 1533-position model. The record is from RNAcentral.
AACGAACGCUGGCGGCAUGCCUAACACAUGCAAGUCGAACGAGACCUUCGGGUCUAGUGGCGCACGGGUGCGUAACGCGUGGGAACCUGCCCUUAGGUUCGGAAUAACUCCCCGUAAGGGGUGCUAAUACCGGAUAAUGUCUUCGGACCAAAGAUUUAUCGCCUUUGGAUGGGCACGCGUUGGAUUAGCUAGUUGGUAGGGUAAAAGCCUACCAAGGCGACGAUCCAUAGCUGGUCUGAGAGGAUGAUCAGCCACACUGGGACUGAGACACGGCCCAGACUCCUACGGGAGGCAGCAGUGGGGAAUAUUGGACAAUGGGCGAAAGCCUGAUCCAGCAAUGCCGCGUGAGUGAUGAAGGCCUUAGGGUUGUAAAGCUCUUUUACCCGGGAUGAUAAUGACAGUACCGGGAGAAUAAGCUCCGGCUAACUCCGUG